UGGGGAAUUUUGCACAAUGGGGGAAACCCUGAUGCAGCGACGCCGCGUGAUUUAGAAGGCCUUCGGGUUGUAAAAAUCUUUUCUAUGGGAAGAAAAUGACAGUACCAUAGGAAUAAGGACCGGCUAAUUACGUGCCAGCAGCCGCGGUAAUACGUAAGGUCCGAGCGUUGUCCGGAAUCAUUGGGCGUAAAGGGUACGUAGGCGGGUAAGCAAGUUAGAAGUGAAAUCCUAUAGCUCAACUAUAGUAAGCUUUUAAAACUGCUCAUCUUGAGGUAUGGAAGGGAAAGUGGAAUUCCUAGUGUAGCGGUGAAAUGCGCAGAUAUUAGGAGGAAUACCGGUGGUGAAGGCGACUUUCUGGCCAUAACCUGACGCUGAGGUACGAAAGCGUGGGUAGCAAACAGG
Molecule: ribosomal RNA, 402 nt
Filed under: bacterium
Lineage: Bacteria
Description: partial 16S ribosomal RNA
Rfam family: Bacterial small subunit ribosomal RNA
Source: RNAcentral